RNAcentral lists this ribosomal RNA (491 nucleotides) under uncultured bacterium. RNAcentral's name for it is "bacterial SSU rRNA". It matches the Rfam family "Bacterial small subunit ribosomal RNA", at positions 28 to 507 of the family's 1533-position model. The record is from RNAcentral.
GAUGAACGCUAGCUACAGGCUUAACACAUGCAAGUCGCGGGGUAACAUCUGGUAGAGCUUGCUCUCCAGGAUGACGACCGGCGCACGGGUGAGUAACGCGUAUCCAACCUGCCCAACCACUUGGGGAUAACCCUGCGAAAGUAAGACUAAUACCCAAUGACGUCUCUAGAAGACAUCUGAAAGGGAUUAAAGAUUUAUCGGUGAUGGAUGGGGAUGCGUCUGAUUAGCUUGUUGGCGGGUAACGGCCCACCAAGGCGACGAUCAGUAGGGGUUCUGAAAGGAAGGUCCCCCACAUUGGAACUGAGACACGGUCCAAACUCCUACGGGAGGCAGCAGUGAGGAAUAUUGGUCAAUGGGCGAGAGCCUGAACCAGCCAAGUAGCGUGCAGGAUGACGGCCCUAUGGGUUGUAAACUGCUUUUAUAAGGGAAUAAAGUGAGAGUCGUGACUCUUUUUGCAUGUACCUUAUGAAUAAGGACCGGCUAAUUCCGUG